This 389-nucleotide ribosomal RNA is filed under the name uncultured bacterium. Its description in RNAcentral is "partial 16S ribosomal RNA". The record is from RNAcentral.
ACCGCGACAUGCUGAUCCGCGAUUACUAGCGAUUCCGACUUCAUGCUCUCGAGUUGCAGAGAACAAUCCGGACUACGAUCGGCUUUCUGGGAUUGGCUCCACCUCGCGGCUUGGCAACCCUCUGUACCGACCAAUUGUAUGACGUGUGAAGCCCUACCCAUAAGGGCCAUGAUGACUUGACGUCAUCCCCACCUUCCUCCGGUUUGUCACCGGCGGUCUCAUUAGAGUGCCCAACUGAGUGUAGCAACUAAUGACAAGGGUUGCGCUCGUUGCGGGACUUAACCCAACAUCUCACGACACGAGCCGACGACAGCCAUGCAGCACCUGUGUUCCGAUUCCCUUUCGGGCACAGCCUAAUCUCUUAAGCCUCUCGGACAUGUCAAGGGUAG